RNAcentral lists this ribosomal RNA (543 nucleotides) under Triticum aestivum (bread wheat). Its description in RNAcentral is "partial small subunit ribosomal RNA". The record is from RNAcentral. Lineage: Eukaryota; Viridiplantae; Streptophyta; Magnoliopsida; Poales; Poaceae.
AUGGGCCCCGUGGUGCAGUUCCUUGCCCGCACCUGUGCACCACUCAUGGCCAACAUCUACCCCUACCUGGCUUGGGCCUACAACCCGAGCGCCAUGGACAUGAGCUAUGCCCUCUUCACCGCGUCCGGCACCGUGGUCCAGGACGGUCGCUACGGGUACCAGAACCUGUUCGACACCACGGUGGACGCCUUCUACACGGCCAUGUCCAAGCACGGCGGCUCUAACGUGAAGCUGGUGGUGUCGGAGAGCGGGUGGCCGUCGGGCGGCGGCACCGCGGCGACUCCAGCCAACGCCAGGUUCUACAACCAGCACCUCAUCAACCACGUCGGGCGCGGAACCCCACGCCACCAGGGCGCCAUUGAGACCUACAUCUUCGCCAUGUCAACGAGAACCAGAAGGCCAGCGGCGUGGAGCAGCACUGGGGACUCUUCUACCCCAACAUGCAGCACGUCUACCCCAUCAACUUCGGAUGGAGCUAGCUAUUCUUUUAACACAGUACAAUCGAAGUUGCUUACAUACGCGAGUAUACACUCACCACAGUAA